This 736-nucleotide ribosomal RNA is filed under the name uncultured fungus. RNAcentral's name for it is "SSU rRNA". It matches the Rfam family "Eukaryotic small subunit ribosomal RNA", at positions 356 to 1093 of the family's 1831-position model. Lineage: Eukaryota; Fungi. The record is from RNAcentral.
CAGGUAACAGGAUAUUAGGGCAUGACAUCAGAGAGGGAGCCUGAAAAACAGCUAUCACAUCCAAGGAAGGCAGCAGGCACGCAAAUUACCCAAUCCCGACACGGGGAGGUAGUGACAAUAAAUAACAAUACGGGGUUCUUUCGGAUUUCGUAAUUGGAAUGAGUACAAUUUAAAUCUCUUAACGAGGAACAAUUGGAGGGCAAGUCUGGUGCCAGCAGCCGCGGUAAUUCCAGCUCCAAUAGCGUAUAUUAAAGUUGCUGCAGUUAAAAAGCUCGUAGUUGAAUUUCGGGACCGAUAUAUCGGUCGUGCCUCGGUACGUACUGGUAUUUUCGGUUCCUCCCUUCUGACGAACCUUGAUGUCAUUGAUUUGGUGUCUUGGGAAAUCAGGACUGUUACUUUGAAAAAAUUAGAGUGUUUAAAGCAGGCUCGCGCUUGAAUACAUUAGCAUGGAAUAAUGAAAUAGGACGUUUGAUUCUAUUUUGUUGGUUUCUAGGAUCGACGUAAUGAUUAAUAGGGAUAGUUGGGGGCAUUAGUAUUCAAUUGUCAGAGGUGAAAUUCUUGGAUUUAUUGAAGACUAACUACUGCGAAAGCAUUUGCCAAGGAUGUUUUCAUUAAUCAAGAACGAAAGUUAGGGGAUCGAAGACGAUCAGAUACCGUCGUAGUCUUAACCAUAAACUAUGCCGACUAGGGGAUCGGAUGAUGUUAAUUUUUUAAUGACCCAUUCGGCGCCUUACGG